UUUGGAUGGUGAAAGAUUUGAACAAAAUGGCGGUUCAACAGUUAACAGACAUAGAAUUGCAAGCUGCAAGCAGCAGAUGUUUCACGAUAGGAACUCAGCUAGGGGAGGAAUACACACAGUUCAACCAAAAAGUACUCACACUUCAGACUGCAUAGCGUGAUGCAGUACUUGGGGGAGAUAAACAAGCAUAACCCAGUCAUAUCCUGUCUGUACAGUUACAAACUGCCAAAGGUAACAGGGUUAAUACAGAACACGAUCCGCCAGAGAGAGAGAGAGAGGGGUGACCAGAGUCACCAGGCGAGAGAUACACAGUACUACUAACCCUACAGAGGAGGAGAGAAUGUGGUACAAGAUGGAACUAAUUUAGAUGUACAAUAUAGGCUUGUGAGAACUUUUACUAACAAUGAAGAAUGACAGUUGACAAACAGUACAUGGACUAAACAACAGUGUCGGUUUACAAACAACUCUGUCGAGUAAAAAACAAACAGUAGAUAUGUUGAACAACAAUAUCGAGUGACAAAUAGUACAUAAAUGUUGUGGACAGCAGGCGGAGUGACAAUGAUACAUAUUCUUAACAACUGGCAAAUCGUAUCUUUUUCUGAACAACAGAGUUGGGCGACAUUUGAAUGGUGCCGAGACAUUAUAGUUGUCAGCAUUUGUAGAAAACAUAAUUCGAGAAGCCUGUUUUUUUUUUAGUACAUUGAAUUCAUGAGGGACAGUAAACAUAGGUCAUAAUAUUUUACCGGAAGCAUAAUUUAAUGGUUGUAUGACCUUUUUGUAUAAAUGUUGUACUGUAUACAGAUAUGGUC
Long non-coding RNA from Saccostrea cuccullata (small rock oyster), 809 nucleotides. RefSeq lists it as uncharacterized. NCBI's taxonomy places the organism in Eukaryota, Metazoa, Mollusca, Bivalvia, Ostreida, Ostreidae. The record is from RefSeq and is a predicted model, not a curated record. The transcript is spliced from 3 exons.